This 450-nucleotide ribosomal RNA is filed under the name uncultured bacterium. RNAcentral describes it as "partial 16S ribosomal RNA". It matches the Rfam family "Bacterial small subunit ribosomal RNA", at positions 329 to 794 of the family's 1533-position model. The record is from RNAcentral.
UGCCAGACUCCUACGGGAGGCAGCAGUGGGGAAUAUUGCACAAUGGGGGAAACCCUGAUGCAGCAACGCCGCGUGGGUGAAGGAGCGUUUCGGCGCGUAAAGCCCUGUCAGCGGGGAAGAAGAAAGACGGUACCCGACCAAGAAGCCCCGGCUAACUACGUGCCAGCAGCCGCGGUAAUACGUAGGGGGCGAGCGUUAUCCGGAAUUACUGGGUGUAAAGGGAGCGUAGACGGCGAGGUAAGCCUGAAGUGGAAGCCCGCGGCCCAACCGCGGAACUGCUUUGGGAACUGUUUUGCUGGAGUAUGGGAGGGGUAAGCGGAAUUCCUGGUGUAGCGGUGAAAUGCGUAGAUAUCAGGAGGAACACCGGUGGCGAAGGCGGAUUGCUGGACAGUAACUGACGCUGAGGCGCGAAAGCGUGGGGAGCAAACAGGAUUAGAUACCCUAGUAUGA